AGUUAUGGCAGCCCUGAAAGCUCGAGUUCUACUUUUCUACUGUUCCUUGAUGUUUCGACAGUUCCUCAUCGAAUAUGGAACCAAGGGAUGAUGAAGGGGAUUUCUCCCUGAGUUCCAUCCUUCCCUUAGUCAGCCAGGUUUGGGAAACUAUUCAGACCAAUUUCCACGGUUUUCGAGAUGACACAUACUUGCAGAAGUUCCGAAGUUUGUUGGUUCACCAAAUCAAAAAGAACAGUUCUCAUUAUGUCUCGUUCGGACUUCACCUGAUCAUCCGCCGAGAUUUUCGUCAAUCCUUGUCUUUCCUCCGAUAUGUGCUUUUAUUAUACGCCCAAAUAGUCGGCAAACAUCCUCAGGCAAGGGAAGACAUUCAAAAAUUCUUGGAAAUGAAUCCGGAGAGUGUGGCCCAGGUUUAUUCUUCUGUGGAAUUCCUUGAAUUAAUGGACGUCUUGGUCUCGUCUGAACCGCUUGAUCAGAGGGUUUACCUUGCGUUGGCCCAAGAAAAUAUCUUGAAAUUGUUGGCUAACCCCCAUGAACAUCAACCGAAGAAUGUGUUUUGGCGGAGAUCAUUCUUCAAGUUGAACUUGACCGUAUUGAGAAAGGUUUUUAUAUUUUUUUCGACAGUAGCUCAUGGUCCAGAUUCCUUCCCGAGACUCUUGGUGUUCCAUCCUAACCUCGCAUUCAAAAGAAGCCUCUUCAUGGAAUUCAUCAUGGGGGUUAUUCAGCAUCCGGGUUUACCGGAACUCAAUCACUCGCCUGCAUUCGUCGAUUUCAUGCGGGAUUGGAGUCAGAGCCCGGAAAUCCGGGUUCAUGCGGACUGUCAAAUUAUCUAUGGCAUCUCAAUCUGGAAAGACGUGCAAAGUUGUGUGGAACCCUAUUUCUAUCCCGAGUUAAAGCUGACAACGCGCAACGAUCUCCGAUCAGUCUUGGAGCCUCUAUCGACCCUGAUUAAUAGAGAGCUGGUGUGCUACAAGGACAAUUCCGUCGUUCCUAAACACAUCAUUAAUGAUAUGAAGCAAAACCUGAAGACUCGAACCAACAUGUGGCGGAAUGUGAUCAUUUUACGAUUAUUCACCUUUCCGGAAGUGAUUGUGGAUCAUCUGAAAGUAAUUCUAUCAGGAGAUCAUGAUCUGAGCGACCGAGAAGUUCCAGAUUUUAUUCGAUACUUAUGUUACUAUACGAUUUAUGGUUCCAUUCUGGAGUCAAGCUUUGCAUUGCCUAAGAAUCGUUCUGAGGUCAUUGGGUUACUGAUUGAACUUUCUUUGAGGAAAGAUCUUGCCUUGAAAAGUCGGGUUGAAAGUCUGAAAACCUUAAAUCAAAUAAUUUCCUUUGGAGGAAGUAGCAGGCCGCCUUUUGAGAAGUAUUUUGACACAAUUUGGAUUCUCGCCACCGAUGAGCAUUGGGAGAUUGUUGACGAGUUUCUAGAACUAUUGGCAUGUGCUACGGAUCAUCUGACGAUAACUCAGUCCGAUUUGGAUAAGAUAUUGAAUUUCUUAAAGAUCUGCUUGGACCAUGAGAGCAGCUUCAUUCGAGCUAAUGUUUUCGUCGUUUUUUCAAAGAUGAUCUUUUAUAAAGACAAUCUUCGACUGAUUUUGAAAACCAAGAUGUCCAUCCCACUUCAAGUUCGUGAAGUUUUGGAACAUGAGACGGAAGCUGUGGUACGAAGGGAAGCCGUGAGUUGUCUUUCCGCUUAUUCCCGCGGUGUCUUGCAUUUCAACCCGCCAAAUUUAUUCCUGUGUGAAACCAUGUACUUGGCUGUCUUGGACCCUGAUUGGGAAGUGAAAACAAUCGCCCUCGAGUCAUUCUGGGCAAAUCCCAUUAAAAAUUGUAAUCUUGAUCCCAAUUUCAUGAGUGAGACUUUUAUGGUGAACGUUUGCCUCUUUGUGCUAGAGGAUCAUGAUAAGCGGAAUCGAAAGUUUUUCUCAUACUUCAUCAAAAGACUCAUGAGUGACGAUCCAACGGCGUUUGGUUCCUCAAACGUCGAAGGUUAUGACUCCAUAAAGGUUGAAAUUGAGCCCAAGAACAAGUACUGGAUUUUGAGGGAGCUCUCGUCUAAUGCGAAACAUGCUCAAUGCAAGGACAUCAUCCGAAUUCCUCCUAAGGAGCCUCUUUCUGUUUUAAUGGAUAAAGUCAAAGCUCUCGAUUACAACGAUUGGAUUGGCGAGUUCGAUUACCAAAACAACCCUGCGAAAGAACUCAAAGAUGUCAUGCUAGAUAUUCUCCAUUAUGACGGUCAAUCAGAGUCCGAAGUGAACACUGUGGACUGUGUUUAGGUCUUGGGUAUCUCUUGCCUUGUUAUCUGUAUUUCGCACAAUAAACUCUUAACGGACUUCCCUGGUCAAUCAAUCGAGACAUGAACUCUUCAAACUCAAGCUUUGCUUGCAAGGAAUACGUUGAGUAGUUCAAUGUCUGUCGUCAUGACGACUCAGUAUCGAGAAGUGCUGAGGUUACUUCUUGGAUCAAUUCUAGUUCUGGGGGUUCCAGCCGACCUUCCCCCAUGUGAAGAGCCUUUCAUCUACUUUCCUGGGGUUGGUUGCAUGACCGAUCCCCUCAUCCCUCAUCCCAUGAAUUAUACCCAAGCCAUUGAGUAUUGCCAAUCCAUCGGAGGUUAUCUCUUGGAACCUAGCACGGACGAGAUUCAGGGGUUCAUCUUCGAUAACCUCUUUGGCAGUGUCGAAUAUGAUUAUUGGUUGUCCUUGAGACGCAAUGGGUCAGAGUUCAUAUGGGAUCACUCCCAACAACCCCUCUCAUUUGAUGCUUGGGGUGUGGAUGAACCCAAUCUGAACCAGGAUUGUGCAAUGGCAUCGGUUGAGCAUUCCUUCUUUUGGGCAACGAGUCAAUGCGAUGUGGAGAGAGGCGUGAUUUGCAACGCGCCAGAGCGAUUAGGGUUGUGUUCGGGUCCAAAGUGGACAUUUGUGGAACAAUUGGAUCAAUGUUUCCUAUGGGAUACGGAUUCGAUGUCUUGGGAGAAUGCCGUAGAUUUCUGCAAAUCGCAAGGAGAUCGAGUGCAUUUGGUUGAAAUAUUGAAUUCAAAGAAGAACGAGAUCUUGAAAGAGGCCCUUUCAAAUGAUCCCAUCGCUUAUUCUAAAGGAUCUUUCUGGAUGGGUCUGAAUGACAGGGAAAGAGAAGGGCAAUACAUUUGGGAGAAUUCGGGCUUAGAGGCAAGCUUCUUUGAUUGGAGUGAGAAUCAACCUGCAGGGGAUGCACAAGAUUGUACUGUGAUGUAUUAUGGAGGAAAUUUCCAAUGGUACGAUUCGGAUUGUCCUAGCUUCUUUUAUCCAUUGUGUGAAGAAGAUGCUGAAUAAAUCAUCAAUCGGAGAACCAUUUAUCCGUUCAACUCUA
Tigriopus californicus is the source of this 3339-nucleotide RNA transcript. It is a transcript of the gene named macrophage mannose receptor 1-like, with no coding region annotated. NCBI's taxonomy places the organism in Eukaryota, Metazoa, Arthropoda, Copepoda, Harpacticoida, Harpacticidae. The record is from RefSeq and is a predicted model, not a curated record. The transcript is spliced from 3 exons.